GAGGGAAAUUUCCUAUGAAAAGUAACGGGCCAGCCCCACUUGAAAAGUUCUGUGCAGGGCUAUAGAAAUGGGAUACUUGUGUAUAGUAUUAAGUCUUUCCCAGCCUCCUGCACCUGGUCUUAUCCAGAGAAAACAGAUUGGAUUAGAAGUGUAAGUGGCAAAACUCAGAAUGAGAACGUGGGUCCUGUUCCUUACGUUGCCGUCGUGUUGCUCUUCUGCUUCCUUUUUGCAUGCCGUCCUGGUGGCCAUGCCUAGGAGCUGGACUUUCAUUGAAGCCCAAGAGGUCAAGAGUUACAGCCUCCUUUUGCAGUGCAUCUUCCCCAUGAAACCAGAUUUCCCACACCAGGCCAGGGAAGCAUCUUGCUGGACAAAUAUUCCACCAUUCACAGUUUGUAUGAGUGUAUCCAGCCAAUCUGUGCAGUCUCCCAAGCCUAAGAACCAGAACUCUGCUGUAUCUAGCACGUUGGGGACGCUUUAUGGCAGGGGCAGGCAAUUAUUGAGGGGGGAAGGCCACUUACUGAAUUUUUUGGCAAGCCAUCGAGGGCUGCAUGACAGGCAGCUAAGGGCAGAUAA
RNAcentral lists this long non-coding RNA (573 nucleotides) under Crocodylus porosus (Australian saltwater crocodile). RNAcentral's name for it is "lncRNA (ENSCPRG00005011456.1)". Lineage: Eukaryota; Metazoa; Chordata; Crocodylia; Crocodylidae. The record is from RNAcentral.